Long non-coding RNA from Pseudophryne corroboree (corroboree frog), 527 nucleotides. RefSeq lists it as uncharacterized. The transcript has 4 exons. The record is from RefSeq and is a predicted model, not a curated record. NCBI's taxonomy places the organism in Eukaryota, Metazoa, Chordata, Amphibia, Anura, Myobatrachidae.
GCAUCUUCUGGAUGAUGUGAUCUCCUACAUGACUAGUGAAUACCGACUGAAGACACUGUCUGCCUCAGAGGAUACAUUUCUCCAGAGGUUCCACAUUGUGAGAAACCAUCAUACAGUUACCAUGGUGAUGGGAACACGUCUGCCAGUGAGCCAUCGACUGGACUGGGUGGUCCGCAGUUGAUGAUGUCACCGGAAAUAGGUCCCCGGGGCUCCGUGGACGAUACACAAGGUGGUGUCUUUUGUAACCGUAUAAAGUCUCUGAUGGUCAACUUCCAAACGGACAGCGAAGAUGGAUGCAUUGUCCAAGGGCCUUCGCUUCUCUUCUCCGACUGGUCAACUCUCAGCCUUGUCUAUACUUUUUGAGAGGUGUUUGGCAUCCUUACCAGAUGUCAGAAACAGGUGGUUCUCCGCACUCGGACGUCCUUUAUUCCUAAAGUGGUUUAAUGUUUCCAAUUGAAUCAGGAGAUUGUUGUUCCAGUUUUACAUCCAUUGGAUCCAAAGAGUCCUCCUCCAAUUUAUAGAAGCAC